RNAcentral lists this ribosomal RNA (887 nucleotides) under Pseudopithomyces sacchari. Its description in RNAcentral is "partial large subunit ribosomal RNA". It matches the Rfam family "Eukaryotic large subunit ribosomal RNA", at positions 37 to 937 of the family's 3401-position model. The record is from RNAcentral. Lineage: Eukaryota; Fungi; Ascomycota; Dothideomycetes; Pleosporales; Didymosphaeriaceae.
AGCAUAUCAAUAAGCGGAGGAAAAGAAAGCAACAGCGAUAGCCUCAGUAACGGCGAGUGAAAGCGGCUACAGCUCAAAUUUGAAAUCUGGGCUCCCUUUGGGCGUCCGAGUUGUAAUUUGCAGAGGAUGCUUUGGCAUUGGCGGCGGUCUAAGUUCCUUGGAACAGGACAUCGCAGAGGGUGAGAAUCCCGUACGUGGGCGCCUGCCUUUGCCGUGUAAAGCUCCUUCGACGAGUCGAGUUGUUUGGGAAUGCAGCUCUAAAUGGGAGGUAAAUUUCUCCUAAAGCUAAAUACCGGCCAGAGACCGAUAGCGCACAAGUAGAGUGAUCGAAAGAUGAAAAGUACUUUGGAAAGAGAGUCAAAUAGCACGUGAAAUUGUUGAAAGGGAAGCGCUUGCAGCCAGACUUGCCCGCAGUUGCUCACCUAGGCUUUUGCCUGGGGCACUCUUCUGCGGGCAGGCCAGCAUCAGUUUGGGCGGUCGGAUAAAGGUCUCUGUCAUGUACCACCCCUCGGGGUGGCCUUAUAGGGGAGACGCAAUGCGACCAGCCCGGACUGAGGUCCGCGCAUCUGCUAGGAUGCUGGCGUAAUGGCUGUAAGCGGCCCGUCUUGAAACACGGACCAAGGAGUCUAACAUCUAUGCGAGUGUUUGGGUGUCAAGCCCGGGCGCGCAAUGAAAGUGAACGGAGGUGGGAACCUUUCGGGGUGCACCAUCGACCGAUCCUGAUGUCUUCGGAUGGAUUUGAGUAAGAGCAUAGCUGUUGGGACCCGAAAGAUGGUGAACUAUGCUUGAAUAGGGUGAAGCCAGAGGAGGACUCUGGUGGAGGCUCGCAGCGGUUUCUGACGUGCAAAUCGAUCGUCAAAUUUGGGCAUAGGGCGAAAGACUAAUCG